UACGGAGGGUGCGAGCGUUGUCCGGAAUCAUUGGGCGUAAAGGGCGCGUAGGUGGCUUCUUAAGCGUGCGGUGAAAGCCUGGGGCUCAACCCCGGGUCGGCCGUGCGAACUGGGGGGCUGGAGCACUGUAGAGGCAGGCGGAAUUCCGGGUGUAGCGGUGGAAUGCGUAGAGAUCCGGAAGAACACCGGUGGCGAAGGCGGCCUGCUGGGCAGUUGCUGACACUGAGGCGCGACAGCGUGGGGAGCAAACAGGG
RNAcentral lists this ribosomal RNA (254 nucleotides) under uncultured bacterium. RNAcentral's name for it is "partial 16S ribosomal RNA". It matches the Rfam family "Bacterial small subunit ribosomal RNA", at positions 524 to 777 of the family's 1533-position model. The record is from RNAcentral.